Peromyscus maniculatus bairdii (prairie deer mouse) is the source of this 475-nucleotide non-coding RNA. Lineage: Eukaryota; Metazoa; Chordata; Mammalia; Rodentia; Cricetidae. The record is from RefSeq and is a predicted model, not a curated record.
AUGGCCCAUAAGGCAAUCCCAGCUGCAGUGUGUGUUGACUUCGUGUUUAACAACCAGCCAUCUGUUGCUUGUCAACAUUGCGUCACACAGGCUGCGUGAACCACAGGGUAGGCUGUGGUUACUAAGUGGGGUAAGCGGGUUUCGACAAUAGAAAGAUCUGUCUCUCUCGGGCCUGAUUCAGGGAGCCUCUCAAAGGCAAUGAAGACACCUUCCAUUCUGGUUCAGAAACCUUCCUGAAGGAAAGGGUCUCAAGGAUGAGACAGAGUCUCACUAUGUUGUGGGGACCUGGCCCACCGGGAACUUAGGUCACCUGUGAAGAGGUGGCCUGGAACCGAGGAAAGCAAACACAGCAGAUGAUAUUGCACAGCAUAAAAAGAAAACAGUAUUGAAGCUCAAAAAAAAUUAGAAGAGAAAGAAAAGGGAAGAAACCUUAAUGCAGUACAAACCAGAAGAAUGCCUAACACAUGACACGUUU